CCAGGCUUCCCACAGAAGAGGCAGCUGGAGAGCCAAGCACUCUUGGACUACAGUCCUAGGCUGGAGCUGCCAAUACAGGCUCUGCCCAGCUAAUCUUCUCUGAGCCUGCAAAUAUUAAACCUGACAUACAGACUCAAGUGAAUCCAGAAAACAGGCUCACAGGGCAGCUGAAAAUUCCAAGUGCCUAAGUGAGAUCCAGUGCGACAGUGGAGCAUGUGUGCGCAGAGGAGACAGGAACAACAACCGGGAUGUCAUGCGGGCGCACUGGGGCUCCUUGUGGCCCCAGUGCACAGAAUUCUGGUGGACCCACCAUGUGUGGGAGCUCAGUGAGACUCAAAGCCCUCCUCACACAUCGUACGCUGAAGGUGGAGCACACUGGGAAAAUGUGCAUGCAUCAAGAAGAAAAAUGAAAACUGAUUUUGUGCAACAUUUCCACUGUUCUUGGAAGAAUGAAAUAAAUGCAUAUGAGCUAUGAAAUAUGGAUUGUAUAAUUCUAGUGAUUCUGCAUAUAAGUCAGAUGAUCUUAUUGAAAAUUGGCAUUGUACAAUAUAAAGAUGAACAGAAGAGUUCAUACUAAUAAUUUAAAAUUUUAAUUCUUCCUUUUUAGAAGAACAUGGGCAGAUUAAAAAUACCACCACACAUCAGGAAAGAAACCAGAAAAGAAAGAAAACAGCUUUCUAUUUUAAUGCUUUUAACAGUACUUAUGUCUGCUUUUUGAAAAGGAGCCCCACAGAUUAAGUACCCAGUCCUGGGCACGGGAAUACCCUGGGAUUGCUUUACAACCUCAAUUAGCUCUCCUCUCCUCCAACUGGUACCCUGAGAAAGACUUGGGUCCAUGCCACCAUCAUCUCUGGCCUGGACUCCUAAUUGGCCUCCCCGCUUCCCUCCUGAUGCUUCCCAGUCCAUUUGUCACUCAGCUGCCCAGAACAACCUAUUCAAAAGGCAGACCUGAUCUUGUUGAUGGUCCCUUCCAUACCCUCCCUGAUUAUAACUCUUCCCACCCCACUCAAAAUAAAUCCAACCAAGGUCUACAAAAUCUACCUCGUCUGCACACCCCACUGGCCUUGCCCUCACUCCAUACCCAGCCCCACUGGCCAACUUGCAGAUAAUCAAAGGUGCCGCAAUCCAUCCGGCCACAAAGCCUAGCACUUGUCCUGUGCCCUCUUUCUGAAACACUCCCCUGUCUCCCCACCUAGUUACUGCCCCUUAGCCCAUUAGAUUCUCCAUGAAGGGUCACUUCCUCAGGGAAGCAGUCUCCUCGCAUUCCCUAUCCACCCCAGGGGUACACUCUCAUAGCUCCCCAGAAUUCCC
RNAcentral lists this long non-coding RNA (1311 nucleotides) under Homo sapiens (human). RNAcentral describes it as "HSALNT0095631". The record is from RNAcentral. Lineage: Eukaryota; Metazoa; Chordata; Mammalia; Primates; Hominidae.